AACAAAAACAAAAAGAAAAAGAACAAUGACUUAUCAUUACUCAAGCUUGUAAAGACCUUGCUAAUUCCAAGAUGUGUGCAGAGCAACAGCAGGAACGGACGGAGCCACUGCUGUUAGGACAUGAAGGAAAAGAGUGUCUGGGGACUGAGUCCUGUGUGCACCCCCGAGCAUGGCUGCAGCGUGCAGUUCUAAGAAUAAACCCACCCAGCCGGGUCGUGGUGGCGCAAUCUUUAAUUCCAGCACUCGGGAGGCAGAGGCAGGCGGAUCUCUAUAACCAACUGACGGUCCAAGCACAGGACAUGUACCUCUCUGGACAAGUCUGUGACAGGAGACUUGUGUCACAGUGGCUAGUGUUACAUGACUACAAACUUUCCUCCAGCUUCCCAGGAAACUCAAGAAGGAACGGAGGCUCCAGGGCAGAGCACCUUGGUACACCCUCAGAAGCCCUGCAUCUGCCUGAAUCGUUGAUGUGAACCCUUCCAGAUGCUGCAUGGAAGCAAAUGCCCUGCACCUGCAGCUACUGCCGGCAGAGUCCAGCGAAGCAGACAUGAAGGGAACCCUUGUUGAUAGCAUGUGAAGGGCUGGAGUCGGUGCGGAACACCCUGAGACCACGUUCUCAGCACAGGAGAUGUAUUUGUCCCAGUGGGACAAAGGGCAGGGAAUAACAGACAAAGACAGGAGACAGGGACCAAAAAAAGACAGGAAAAGGAAAAAGGGAGGAGUAAGGGAUAUUUGUCCUGGAGGGACAAAGGACCACCUCUGGACAGAGAGGAGACAGAUAUUGGCCCAUAGGCAAAUGGCAGUUCAUAAAGGGAAAGGGGGAAACUCCAUGUUAGGAUGAGUUGUUUACCUUUAAUUGGCCAUGUUAAUUACAUGAACCAAAGGGGGCUUUUGAUUGCUGGGCUACAAUACUUUGAUAGCUGGUCGUUGGUGGUGAGCCUCAGGAGAAGGAAGUGGCUAAAUUUAGGACUGUAAUCUAACAGUUUAGGAAGGAAGAGGGAAUGGGGGGGGCAAGACCUGCUAGAGCCAUGUCUGCCAACCUUGGGCCUUCUAGACCCUUUCAGGAAGCCUGUGGUUGGUGCUUACACUCAAGAAAUCAAAAGACAUUGAGCUCGAAAGGUUCUUCUUUGUUGCCUGUGCAGUGUGAGGUGUGUGUGUGCCUCUCUCUCUCUCUCUCUCUCUCUCUCUCUCUCUCUCUCUCUCUCUCUCUCUCUUUUUGUGUGUGUGUGUGUGUGUGUGGUGAUUUGAAUGAAAAUGACACCCAUAGACUCAUAGGGUGUGAUUUUAUUGGAGGUGUGGUCUUUUUGGAGGAAGUGUAUCCCUAAGGGUGGGUUUUGAGGUCUCAGAUCCUCAAGCAACACCCAGUGUCUCAGUCUCAUCUUGCUGCCUGCCUGUCCAGAUGUAGAACUCUCAGCUACCUCUCCAGCACCACCAUCUGCUUGCAUGCAACCUUGCUUCCCACCAUGACAAUAAUGAACUAAACCUCUGAACUCUCCAAUUAAAUGUUUUCCUUUAUGAGAGUU
Alexandromys fortis (reed vole) is the source of this 1523-nucleotide long non-coding RNA. RefSeq lists it as uncharacterized. NCBI's taxonomy places the organism in Eukaryota, Metazoa, Chordata, Mammalia, Rodentia, Cricetidae. The transcript has 3 exons. The record is from RefSeq and is a predicted model, not a curated record.